AACGAACGCUGGCGGCAUGCCUAACACAUGCAAGUCGAACGAACCCUUCGGGGUUAGUGGCGCACGGGUGCGUAACGCGUGGGAAUCUGCCCUUUGCUUCGGAAUAACUCAGGGAAACUUGUGCUAAUACCGGAUGAUGUCUUCGGACCAAAGAUUUAUCGGCAAGGGAUGAGCCCGCGUAGGAUUAGGUAGUUGGUGGGGUAAAGGCCUACCAAGCCGACGAUCCUUAGCUGGUCUGAGAGGAUGAUCAGCCACAAUGGGACUGAGACACGGCCCAGACUCGUACGGGACGCAGCAGUGGGGAAUAUUGGACAAUGGGCGCAAGCCUGAUCAAGCAAUGCCGCGUGAGUGAUGAAGGCCCUCGGGUCGUAAAGCUCUUUUACAAGGGAUGAUAAUGACAGUAACUGGAGAAUAAGCUCCGGCUAACUCCGUG
Molecule: ribosomal RNA, 433 nt
Filed under: uncultured bacterium
Lineage: Bacteria
Description: partial 16S ribosomal RNA
Rfam family: Bacterial small subunit ribosomal RNA
Source: RNAcentral